UUUUGUCCUUAACCGAAAAUUUUCUAAACUCUUUAAGAAUUAUUUUGGACAUUAAAUAUUAAAUUAAUUAAAAUAAAUUAGCUGAGCCCGUUUGAAAUUUUCGAAAAUCAAGUGAACCAAGUCAGACAGUUGAAUCAGACCAAACCAGUUCGAAUCGGAAUGAUAUAGAAACCCACCUACCUUCUUUCUUUUCCUCUCUUCUUCUUCUUCUUCUUCUUCUUCCUCAGCGCCAGAGCGCACGCUGCCCUUCCCUCCCCGUUUCCGGACACCGGGACCGAUCGAGCUCACCUUCUCGCCGUCGCAUCACCCCUGCGGUUGCUCCGACCUCCUUUCCCCUCUCUCCUUCGCUCCUGGCGAGCGCAGCAACUGUCGGAGGGGUCGCGAUUCAGCUCGACCAUGAAGUCCCGCCUCCAGCUCGGUUUUCCGGCGAUUUCAAGGCACGAGUCAGUGCGGCCGACUUCCUCUCCUAAUAAUGAGAAGUGAGUGUUUAAUUAUAAGAGUAGUUACUAAUUUGGUAAGGAUUGUUAAAAAGAAAAUAUUACUUUUUGCUAUAUAAUUUAUAAUAUUAUUUUCAUCCAUUCAAUUUUUACUAAAUAAAAAAAAAAAUUAUCUAUAUUUAUUAUGAAAAAUAAAGAAAAAUUUAAAAGUCAAAAAUGGAAAACGAAAAUAGUUACAACUAUCAACAUAAAUGGCAUGAUAAUGAUAUAGAAAUUGGUGUAAGAAUAUACCUUCUAGCUCAUCAACAUAAUGCGCCCAAAUAUUUUCCCCAUAAAGACGCUACCACAGCAUCAUAGCUUGACCAG
Molecule: long non-coding RNA, 803 nt
Filed under: Jatropha curcas
Lineage: Eukaryota; Viridiplantae; Streptophyta; Magnoliopsida; Malpighiales; Euphorbiaceae
Description: long non-coding RNA (JCUR_LNC002704)
Source: RNAcentral